GAUGAAAAAAUGCUCAUUUGAUAGGAUGACAAAGUUUUCCCUGCAAAAAUCAAUGAUGCAGAUAAGAGAGAACAUGUUUUUAAAAAUAAUUUUUACAUGCUAUGAAACACCGGAUUAUACACAAUAAAAAUGUCUUUAGUAAAAAAAAAAAAUUGCUGAUAGUAAGGUAGAUUUGCAGGUGUGACCUUUGCCAACAUAUGUAGAUUAUCAUCAGAUCCACAUGUUUGUAGAAUUAUGUAACAGUGUUUAAGUGGCCAGGAAAGGGAGGAUUUUGUGGUCAAGAAAGUGGAAAUGUCCUAUUUAACAUAUGACCCUGGCCAGUCUCAUCUCAAAUUACUGUUGCUCAAGUUACAGAUGGUUAGCAAGCCAAGUGGGAGGGAAGAGAAAGGGCUGACAAACCUACAGUUAACAUGAGGCCACAAAGCCAGUGGCUGUUAUCAUUAAAAAUACAAACUUACUCAAGUCUUCCAUAUUUAAAGUAGCAAAGAAAAAAACUGUCUUGCACUGCAUUCUGGACCAGAAGACGUUGCUAUAAAUGGGUUUAACAUAUCCUUCCCUAAUAAUUAGGUUUUAGGAAAGAUAGAACAUAGUUUUAUGAAUGAACUGAAAAAACAUAUAAUUAGACCACCUUUCCCAGCUGACAGCUUUAUGAUCAUGAUUGAAAAGCAGUUUUUUCCUUUUGCACUUAUUUGCAUCUCAGGUUUUUUAAGCUUCCAAAUGUUUAAAACAUACAAGUGCCUGUGCUCUAGGAAUUUACUCUUGAGAGAAAACACCAUUAAGUGGAAAAAAAAUUUUAUCUCUACUAACACAAAAGCAAGUAUACAUAAAUUUAUGUAUUUAGUAUUGGUUUCAACCGAUUACCUUGUAAAGCAGUUCAGGGCUAACAGAGUACGUCAGAGUCAAAAAUAAUCCUAAUGUUGUUUGCUAUUAUGGCUGUGAAAAUUUUAGUCAAGUACAGACUGAAAGCCCAAAGGAUGCUAAAGGAUUAUCUAGAAAGCAGAGCCUCAAGCCAAGUUUAAGUGCUAAGAUUUUAUUAGGAGGUACGACCCCUGGGCUGCAAGGGUGAGGCGAAAGGCAAUGAAAAGCAAUGCUUCGCUAAUCUGAAAACAACUUGAGGAGAAAGUACAGCUUCCAGACAGCCACACUGGGACCUGCUGCCUAUGGAGAAAACAGGAGAGGUACUUAUUUCUUGCUCUCUGCCCUCUGUUGUAAGUUUGUCUCACAGGGCUCCAACGCCGCACUUUUCUGGGUAUGUCCCUGACCCUCCAGGCUAUUGGCAGAGACAAGAAUAGGCUGAACCUCUGUUUUUCACCCGAGUCUGGGACUGGUGGGAGGAGCCAGGGCCCCUCUGCACUAAGCUAGAGGCUAAGAUGAGAGACGGGGUGCAACUGAGCAGACCGGGGAGGUGCACAAGCUGGGUCUGGCACAGCGCAUCCUUCUAGGACCUGAGCUAUUUAUUCCUAGUGCUGGUGUUCACUGAUUCUUAGGGGAGGAGGAGCCACUCAAUUCAGAGAUCGCACAGAUAGCGCCUCGAUUGUGUAAAUGUAAUUAUCUUCCAUCAAACUGUCUCAAGUUCCUCACUACGCUUACCCAUUGCUUUAACUCUUCCCCUCCCGAGAGUUUUUGAGGUGUAAUUUGAAUCGGAUUCUUUACCGUCUGAGCUACUAGGGAAGCCCAAGAAUACUGGAGUGGGUAGCCUAUCCCUCCUCCAGGACAUCUUCCCGACCCCAAAAUAGAACGGGGGUCUCCUGAAUCGCAGGCGGAUUCUUUACCAGCUGAGCUACCAGGGAAGCCCAAUUUGAAUAUUAAAAAAUCCACCCAUUUGAAGACUACAAAGCCUUAGAUUUUGUCAACUGCACACAUCCUGUAACAUCCAGUCUAUCAAGGCGUGGAAUCAUGCCAUCGCCCCCAAAGUUCCCUCCUGCUCCCCUGCCUCCCAUCCUCUCGCCUCUUUCAUCCCUCCCCAGGCAACGGCUUUCCCCACCAGUUUUGCUUCUUCUAGAAUUUCAGAUAAACGCAAUCGGACAGACUAAGGUCUUUUGGGUUUACCCCCCUACCCCCACCUGUACCAAGCAAUUAUUAUUAUAUUUUUUUUAGAUCCAUCCUUGUUGCUGCCCGUAUUGAUAACUGGGUGCAUUUUUACGCUUCGCUGUUUUGGAGAACUUCCUCUCUGUGCUAAACGUCCGGCACUUUAUCUGCAUUCGCCGUUUGGAACCCUCACAACUACCCUGCUUUACAGCAGAGUAACCCGAGGCUAGGGGCGCCCGGCUGGGGAGCCCGGGGAGGAGGCGCGGGGUAGACACCGGCUAGUCAGAUUAUUACGCUUGCCCCGGUCGGGAGCCCGAUCUGCGGCACCUGCGGCUGGAGAGGGGAACGGUGGGUCUGGCCGUAUACAGCCGCGGACCGGACAAACGCCCCGGGACGGAGGCCUUGCCGGGCCGCCCGCGAGGCCGGAGCCAUGGAGGGUACUCCAUCCUACCGUACCCGGGCCGCCGGCCUCCAGAGCUGCCUGAUCCGGCUACGAGUAGAGGCGGGGCCGCGGUCUGGGGGCGCGCAAGGGCGCGGAGGAGCCGCAUUUCCGCGGACGCGUCACGUUGCUGGGCGCUUCACCACGCGCCGUUUCCCUCCGCGCGGACGGCGCUACUUCCCGAGGGGCCCGAGGACCCCAGUCGUCGGUGAUGGGUGAAUGUAUCUUGCAUGUUGAACCCUGUGACAGAGAACUUGACCCAUGGAGGGCAUACAAAUAAGAUUGCAAGAAGACCUGUCAGAGUUAUGGAAAUGAAAGGUGCGGUGGUAGGUGUGGAAGAAACAACAUGAAGUUGACAGAACUGCCAUUCCCAAGAAAGUGGUGAUUAUGAAACAUGCUAUUAUCCAAGUUUUGACAGAAUUUUGCUAGAGGGGCCACCACAGUGUUGACCUUGGUUGAUGGGUUUGACCUUUGCUAAGUGGGAUUCCUCAGUGGCUGCUGGAAGCUCUGAGAAUGGGACCAUCUGGAAAUGAGAAGAAUCGUCUGAUUUAAGCCACAGACAACAACUUAGAUUUGGGGAUUUAUGUCAUUUUCUCUUUGUGACUUUGCCUGUAUUCACAAUUUAAUGAGCUGGACAUCUUUUUUUUUUUUCCCCUUAUACUUUUAAAACAUUUUCAUUGCUCUUCAAAAACAUUUUGGAAAGUUUUCAUUAUUUAGCCUUUAAAUUUAGUAAAGCAUCUAAGGUUAACUUAGUUACAACAACCAAGAAGCGAAGAAUUAUUCUCACUUAUCAACACCAUCCUUCUGACUUCUCAAGAUGAAAACAUCCCCAUCAACAUGCUUUAUCCAAAUUUCUACUCCAAUAAAGCUUUUUUUUUCUUUCUGAGUUGCAUCAUAGAUCCUCUAAAGAACCCCCUGACAGAGGGUCUGUGUACAUUUUACCU
Molecule: long non-coding RNA, 3411 nt
Organism: Bos taurus (domestic cattle)
Lineage: Eukaryota; Metazoa; Chordata; Mammalia; Artiodactyla; Bovidae
Source: Ensembl